GAUGAACGCUGGCGGCGUGCUUAACACAUGCAAGUCGAACGGAAAGGCCCAAGCUUGCUUGGGUACUCGAGUGGCGAACGGGUGAGUAACACGUGGGUGAUCUGCCCUGCACUUCGGGAUAAGCCUGGGAAACUGGGUCUAAUACCGGAUAGGACCACAUUUUGGAUGGUGUGGUGGAAAGUUUUUCGGUGUGGGAUGAGCUCGCGGCCUAUCGGCUUGUUGGUGGGGUAAUGGCCUACCAAGGCGUCGGCGGGUAGCCGGCCUGAGGGGGUGUACGGCCGCAUUGGGACUGAGAUACGGCCCAGACUCCUACGGGAGGCAGCAGUGGGGAAGAUUGCACAAUGGGCGCCAGCCUGAUGCAGCGACGCCGCGGGGGGGAUGACGGCCUUCGGGUUGUAAACUCCUUUCGCUAGGGACGAAGCGUUAUGUGACGGUACCUGGAGAAGAAGCACCGGCUAACUACGUG
This 466-nucleotide ribosomal RNA is filed under the name uncultured bacterium. RNAcentral's name for it is "partial 16S ribosomal RNA". It matches the Rfam family "Bacterial small subunit ribosomal RNA", at positions 28 to 507 of the family's 1533-position model. The record is from RNAcentral.